Molecule: ribosomal RNA, 791 nt
Filed under: uncultured archaeon
Lineage: Archaea
Description: bacterial SSU rRNA
Rfam family: Archaeal small subunit ribosomal RNA
Source: RNAcentral
ACGGCUCAGUAACACGUAGCUAACCUGCCUUUAGGUUAAGGAUAUCCUCGGGAAACUGAGGUUAAUACUUGAUAGGAGAUGAUCUCUGGAAGGAAUUUUCUCUGAAAGGUAACGCCUAAAGAUGGGGCUGCGGCGGAUUAGGUUGUUGGUAGUGUAAAAGACCACCAAGCCUAUGAUCCGUAAGGGCUCUUAGCGGAGAAGCCCUGAGAAGGACUCUGAGACACUAGUCCUAGCUCUACGGGGUGCAGCAGUCAGGUAUCUUUUGCAAUGUACGCAAGUAUGACAAAGCGAACCAGAGUGUUUCUCUUUAUGAGGAACUUUUGCCAGCUGUAAAAAGGCUGGCGAAUAAGGACUGGGCAAGACCGGUGCCAGCCGCCGCGGUAAUCCCGGCGGUCCAAGUCGCAGCCACAUUUAUUGGGUCUAAAACAUCCGUAGCUUGUUUUGUAAGUCUUUUGUGAAAUCUGGCCUCUUAAGGGUUAGGCUUGCACGAGAUACUGCAAAACUAGAGACUGGGGGGCAUGAGGAGUACGAUCAAGGUAGUGGUAAAAUACGUUAAUCUUGAUCGGACUAACAAUUAGCGAAGGCACUUCAUGAUAACAGUUCUGACAGUGAGGGAUGAAGGCUAGGGGCGCAAAAUGGAUUAGAUACCCAUGUAGUCCUAGCAGUAAACACUGCACACUAAACCUCGUGAUCUCCUCGAGAGGCUGCGGGGCUGUAAGGAAGCUGAAGAGUGUGCUACCUGGGAAGUAUAGUCGCAAGGCCGAAACUUAAAGGAAUUGGCGGGGGAGCAC